CAAGUAUUAGGUGAUGUGAUUUGC
Molecule: non-coding RNA, 24 nt
Filed under: Arabidopsis thaliana (thale cress)
Lineage: Eukaryota; Viridiplantae; Streptophyta; Magnoliopsida; Brassicales; Brassicaceae
Source: RNAcentral